UGGGGAAUAUUGGACAAUGGGCGAAAGCCUGACCCAGCAACGCCGCGUGAAGGAUGAAGUAUUUCGGUAUGUAAACUUCGAAAGAAUAGGAAGAAUAAAUGACGGUACUAUUUAUAAGGUCCGGCUAACUACGUGCCAGCAGCCGCGGUAAUACGUAGGGACCAAGCGUUGUUCGGAUUUACUGGGCGUAAAGGGCGCGUAGGCGGCAAUUCAAGUCAUCUGUGAAAUCUCCGGGCUUAACUCGGAACGGUCAGAUGAUACUGCUUUGCUAGAGUGCAGAAGGGGCAAUCGGAAUUCUUGGUGUAGCGGUGAAAUGCGUAGAUAUCAAGAGGAACACCUGAGGUGAAGACGGGUUGCUGGGCUGACACUGACGCUGAGGCGCGAAAGCCAGGGGAGCAAACGGGAUUAGAUACCCAUGUAGUCCCUGAGCGGGCUGGCAAGGCGCAU
This 447-nucleotide ribosomal RNA is filed under the name uncultured bacterium. Its description in RNAcentral is "bacterial SSU rRNA". It matches the Rfam family "Bacterial small subunit ribosomal RNA", at positions 355 to 825 of the family's 1533-position model. The record is from RNAcentral.